Molecule: transfer RNA, 67 nt
Filed under: Blethisa multipunctata
Lineage: Eukaryota; Metazoa; Arthropoda; Insecta; Coleoptera; Carabidae
Description: tRNA-Ile
Source: RNAcentral
AAUGAAGUGCCUGAUUUAAAAGGAUUAUUUUGAUAGAAUAAAUUAUGUAAUUAUUUUACCUUCAUUA